UUAGUUAGGGGGUGCGGCUAAUUCAUGUAAGGUCGAACGCUCAGCUUAAAGGUGCUUGCACCUUUCAAGUGAGUGGCGAACGGGUGAUUAACACGUGGACAACCUGCCUCAAGGCUGGGGAUAACAUUUGGAAACAGAUGCUAAUACCGAAUAAAACUUAGUGUCGCAUGACACAAAGUUAAAAGGCGCUUCGGCGUCACCUAGAGAUGGAUCCGCGGUGCAUUAGUUAGUUGGUGGGGUAAAGGCCUACCAAGACAAUGAUGCAUAGCCGAGUUGAGAGACUGAUCGGCCACAUUGGGACUGAGACACGGCCCAAACUCCUACGGGAGGCUGCAGUAGGGAAUCUUCCACAAUGGGCGAAAGCCUGAUGGAGCAACGCCGCGUGUGUGAUGAAGGCUUUCGGGUCGUAAAGCACUGUUGUAUGGGAAGAACAGCUAGAAUAGGAAAUGAUUUUAGUUUGACGGUACCAUACCAGAAAGGGACGGCUAAAUACGUGCCAGCAGCCGCGGUAAUACGUAUGUCCCGAGCGUUAUCCGGAUUUAUUGGGCGUAAAGCGAGCGCAGACGGUUUAUUAAGUCUGAUGUGAAAGCCCGGAGCUCAACUCCGGAAUGGCAUUGGAAACUGGUUAACUUGAGUGCAGUAGAGGUAAGUGGAACUCCAUGUGUAGCGGUGGAAUGCGUAGAUAUAUGGAAGAACACCAGUGGCGAAGGCGGCUUACUGGACUGCAACUGACGUUGAGGCUCGAAAGUGUGGGUAGCAAACAGGAUUAGAUACCCUGGUAGUCCACACCGUAAACGAUGAACACUAGGUGUUAGGAGGUUUCCGCCUCUUAGUGCCGAAGCUAACGCAUUAAGUGUUCCGCCUGGGGAGUACGACCGCAAGGUUGAAACUCAAAGGAAUUGACGGGGACCCGCACAAGCGGUGGAGCAUGUGGUUUAAUUCGAAGCAACGCGAAAGAACCUUACCAGGUCUUGACAUCCCUUUGAAGCUUUUAGAGAUAGAAGUGUUCUCUUCGGAGACAAAGUGACAGGUGGUGCAUGGUCGUCGUCAGCUCGUGUCGUGGAAAUGUUGGGUUAAGUCCCGCAACGAACGCAACCCUUAUUGGUAAUUGCCAGCAUUCAGAUGGGCACCCUAGCGAGACUGCCGGUGACAAACCGGAGGAAAGCGGGGGACAACCUCAAAUCCACUGGCCCCUUAGAACCGGGGAUACACCCGUGCUACAUGGGCGUAAUCAACGAAUUGCCAACCCCCGAGGGGGAGCCAAACCCUUAAAGGACGCUUCCAGUUCGGAUGGUAGUCCCCCACUCGCACUACUGUAAAUCGGAAUCCCUAAUAACCCGGAAAACACCCCCCCCGGGGGAAAACUUUCCCCCGGUUUUUACCCCCCCCCCCCCCCCCGGGGGAAUUUUUAUAGCCCAACCCGGG
This 1425-nucleotide ribosomal RNA is filed under the name Leuconostoc mesenteroides. RNAcentral describes it as "bacterial SSU rRNA". It matches the Rfam family "Bacterial small subunit ribosomal RNA". Lineage: Bacteria; Bacillati; Bacillota; Bacilli; Lactobacillales; Lactobacillaceae. The record is from RNAcentral.